UACGUAGGGUGCAAGCGUUGUCCGGAAUUAUUGGGCGUAAAGAGCUCGUAGGCGGUUAGUCGCGUCUGCUGUGAAAACUCGGGGCUUAACUCCGGGCCUGCAGUGGGUACGGGCUGACUAGAGUGCGGUAGGGGAGACUGGAAUUCCUGGUGUAGCGGUGAAAUGCGCAGAUAUCAGGAGGAACACCGGUGGCGAAGGCGGGUCUCUGGGCCGUAACUGACGCUGAGGAGCGAAAGCAUGGGGAGCGAACAGG
This 253-nucleotide ribosomal RNA is filed under the name uncultured bacterium. RNAcentral's name for it is "partial 16S ribosomal RNA". It matches the Rfam family "Bacterial small subunit ribosomal RNA", at positions 524 to 776 of the family's 1533-position model. The record is from RNAcentral.